GCCGAGAUAGCUCAGGGGUAGAGUAGCUGAUUCGUAAUCAGCGGGUCGUGGGUUCAAAUCCCAUUCUCGGCU
This 72-nucleotide transfer RNA is filed under the name Bacteroidota bacterium. RNAcentral describes it as "Bacteroidetes bacterium (groundwater metagenome) tRNA-Thr". It matches the Rfam family "tRNA". Rfam says of the family: Transfer RNA (tRNA) molecules are approximately 80 nucleotides in length. Their secondary structure includes four short double-helical elements and three loops (D, anti-codon, and T loops). The record is from RNAcentral. Lineage: Bacteria; Pseudomonadati; Bacteroidota.